CAACAGUACGUGAAACCGCAUAGAGGUAAACGGGUGGAUCCGCAAAGUCGGCCCGCGGAAUUCAGCUCGGAAGGCUGCGCGCCUGCCGCCGGGUAGGAGAUCGCAAGACUCUCCUGGCGUGGGACGCGUGCCGGCCGUGUGCACUUUCCGUGGGCAGAGCGCCACGACCGGUUUCUGGGCGGUCAGAAGGCGGCGAGGAUGGUAGGCGCGCGCCUCGGUGCGCGCUGGUAUAGCCUCGCCUGUCCUGAUCCGCCUGGGGACCGAGGAGCCGCCGUGGGCUGGGGCCGCCUCGCCCUCCCGGGACGUUCGACUGGCAGAGACUGGGUGACCGUGUCUGCCGACCGCUUCCUGGGACGGACUGGGGUGGGCCCGCCCUCACAGGGUCAGUGGCGAAUCGGUCGGCCCUCCACCCGACCCGUCUUGAAACACGGACCAAGGAGUCUAACAUGCGCGCGAGUCGUUGGGUCGUACGAAACCCGAAGGCGAAGUGAAAGCGAGGGCCGUCUCUGACGUGCUCAGGUGGGAUCCUGGUCCCUCUUCGGGCUGGGCGCACCACCGGCCCGUCUCGUCCGCGCUGU
Molecule: ribosomal RNA, 578 nt
Filed under: Lophiotoma acuta
Lineage: Eukaryota; Metazoa; Mollusca; Gastropoda; Neogastropoda; Turridae
Description: eukaryotic LSU rRNA
Source: RNAcentral